Molecule: ribosomal RNA, 763 nt
Filed under: uncultured Streptococcus sp.
Lineage: Bacteria; Bacillati; Bacillota; Bacilli; Lactobacillales; Streptococcaceae
Description: bacterial SSU rRNA
Rfam family: Bacterial small subunit ribosomal RNA
Source: RNAcentral
GACGAACGCUGGCGGCGUGCCUAAUACAUGCAAGUAGAACGCUGAAGGAGGAGCUUGCUUCUUCGGAUGAGUUGCGAACGGGUGAGUAACGCGUAGGUAACCUGCCUGGUAGCGGGGGAUAACUAUUGGAAACGAUAGCUAAUACCGCAUAACAGUAGAUGUUGCAUGACAUUUGCUUAAAAGGUGCAAUUGCAUCACUACCAGAUGGACCUGCGUUGUAUUAGCUAGUUGGUGGGGUAACGGCUCACCAAGGCGACGAUACAUAGCCGACCUGAGAGGGUGAUCGGCCACACUGGGACUGAGACACGGCCCAGACUCCUACGGGAGGCAGCAGUAGGGAAUCUUCGGCAAUGGACGGAAGUCUGACCGAGCAACGCCGCGUGAGUGAAGAAGGUUUUCGGAUCGUAAAGCUCUGUUGUAAGAGAAGAACGAGUGUGAGAGUGGAAAGUUCACACUGUGGCGGUAUCUUACCAGAAAGGGACGGCUAACUACGUGCCAGCAGCCGCGGUAAUACGUAGGUCUCGAGCGUUGUCCGGAUUUAUUGGGCGUAAAGCGAGCGCAGGCGGUUAGAUAAGUCUGAAGUUAAAGGCUGUGGCUUAACCAUAGUACGCUUUGGAAACUGUUUAACUUGAGUGCAAGAGGGGAGAGUGGAAUUCCAUGUGUAGCGGUGAAAUGCGUAGAUAUAUGGAGGAACACCGGUGGCGAAAGCGGCUCUCUGGCUUGUAACUGACGCUGAGGCUCGAAAGCGUGNGGAGCAAACAGG